GCGGCGGACGGGUGAGUAACACGUGGGCAACCUGCCCUGCAGACUGGGAUAACUUCGGGAAACCGGAGCUAAUACCGGAUAACACCGAAAACCGCAUGGUUUUCGGUUGAAAGGCGGCUUUUAGCUGUCACUGCAGGAUGGGCCCGCGGCGCAUUAGCUAGUUGGUGAGGUAACGGCUCACCAAGGCGACGAUGCGUAGCCGACCUGAGAGGGUGACCGGCCACACUGGGACUGAGACACGGCCCAGACUCCUACGGGAGGCAGCAGUAGGGAAUCUUCCGCAAUGGACGAAAGUCUGACGGAGCAACGCCGCGUGAGCGAAGAAGGUCUUCGGAUCGUAAAGCUCUGUUGUCAGGGAAGAACAAGUGCCGUUCGAACAGGGCGGUACCUUGACGGUACCUGACAAGGAAGCCACGGCUAACUACUUGCCACCAGCCGCGGUAAUAC
Molecule: ribosomal RNA, 447 nt
Filed under: Aeribacillus sp. H01D025
Lineage: Bacteria; Bacillati; Bacillota; Bacilli; Caryophanales; Bacillaceae
Also listed under: 1 other name
Description: bacterial SSU rRNA
Rfam family: Bacterial small subunit ribosomal RNA
Source: RNAcentral